AUAUUCUAGCAAGCCAAGUAAAUCUAAUUUUUAAGAAUUAUUCAAUAAAGGUACAGCUUUAUUGAAAAAGGAAACAACCUAAACCUUAGGAUAAUGAAUAUUUUUAAAUAGGUAAAAGGCCAAGUUGGCCUAAAAGCAGCCAUCUUUAAAGAUAGCGUCAAAGCUUCACCUUAAACACACCUUAAAUCUCAUUAUUUUUUUCAUAAUCCAACAAUUCUACUAAGCCAUUCUAUACUUUUAUAGAAAAGUUUAUGUUAGGACUAGUAACACAGAAUAAUUUCUCUUACAUGUAAGUUUAAAUCAACCCGAAUACCUCCUUGAUAAUUACUCAAAUUUGAACCUUAAGUAGUACCUAUCAAUUACAAAAACCCUACUUAACUUAUUGUUAAUCAAACAUAUGGAUAUGAAAGAAAGAUUAAAAAAUUAAGAAGGAACUCGGCAAACACAAGUCCCGCCUGUUUACCAAAAACAUCGCCUUUUGAAAAGUAUAAAAGGUAACGCCUGCCCACUGACAAUAUGUUUAACGGCCGCGGUAUUCUGACCGUGCGAAGGUAGCGUAAUCACUUGUCUUUUAAAUGAAGACUCGUAUGAAAGGCAUCACGAGAACUUAGCUGUCUCCUUAAUUCAAUCAGUGAAACUGAUAUCCCUGUAAAAAAGCAGGGAUGAUAACAUAAGACGAGAAGACCCUGUGGAGCUUAAAACAUAAACUACUUCUAUACUCUACUAACUUAUAGUACUAAAAUACAAACCUAGCCUAAGUUUUCUGUUGGGGCGGCUGUGGAGAAAAACUUAUCCUCCAUGAAGAAAAAACUUUGAUCUACCGCUCUUAGUAUUAGCAAGCCUAACUUAAAUUGAUCCAAUUUUUGAUCAACGGACCAAGUUACCCCAGGGAUAACAGCGCAAUCCAUUUCAAGAGUCCCUAUCGACAAAUGGGUUUACGACCUCGAUGUUGGAUUAGGACAUCCUAGUGGUGUAGCCGCUACUAAUGU
Molecule: ribosomal RNA, 989 nt
Filed under: Leptobrachium hendricksoni (spotted litter frog)
Lineage: Eukaryota; Metazoa; Chordata; Amphibia; Anura; Megophryidae
Description: partial 16S ribosomal RNA
Rfam family: Bacterial large subunit ribosomal RNA
Source: RNAcentral